AUACCUUUCUCGGCCUUUUGGCUAAGAUCAAGUGUAGUAUCUGUUCUUAUUAGUUUAAUAUCUGAUACGUGGGCCAUUGGCCCCCUUGAUAUUAAUCUUAUUUUUUAUGGUGAAAGGCCUAUCACAAUAGCUUGCUGUUAGGGUCUCUGAGCGUCAUCUUAAAGAUGAUAAAACCUGA
RNAcentral lists this small nuclear RNA (178 nucleotides) under Helianthus annuus (common sunflower). RNAcentral's name for it is "U2 spliceosomal RNA". It matches the Rfam family "U2 spliceosomal RNA". Rfam says of the family: U2 is a small nuclear RNA (snRNA) component of the spliceosome (involved in pre-mRNA splicing). Complementary binding between U2 snRNA (in an area lying towards the 5' end but 3' to hairpin I) and the branchpoint sequence (BPS) of the intron results the bulging out of an unpaired adenosine, on the BPS, which initiates a nucleophilic attack at the intronic 5' splice site, thus starting the first of two transesterification reactions that mediate splicing. The record is from RNAcentral. Lineage: Eukaryota; Viridiplantae; Streptophyta; Magnoliopsida; Asterales; Asteraceae.